RNAcentral lists this transfer RNA (73 nucleotides) under Pyramimonas parkeae. Its description in RNAcentral is "tRNA-Pro". It matches the Rfam family "tRNA". Rfam says of the family: Transfer RNA (tRNA) molecules are approximately 80 nucleotides in length. Lineage: Eukaryota; Viridiplantae; Chlorophyta; Pyramimonadophyceae; Pyramimonadales; Pyramimonadaceae. The record is from RNAcentral.
CAGAGCAUAGUGUAGUUCGGUAACAUACCUGCUUUGGGAGCAGGCGUCAGAGGUUCAAAUCCUCUUGCUCUGA